GAGUUUGAUCAUGGCUCAGAACGUACGCUGGCGGCACGCCUAACACAUGCAAGUCGAACGAAGUAGCAAUACUUAGUGGCAGACGGGUGAGUAACAUGUAGGUAUCUGCCCUUUGGCCUGGAAUAACACGAGGAAACUUGUGCUAAUACCGGAUAAGUCUUUACGGAGAAAGCUUUAUGCACCAUUGGAUGAGCCUGCACUUGAUUAGUUUGUUGGUGGGGUAAUGGCCUACCAAGACUGUGAUCAAUAGCUGAUUUGAGAGGAUGAUCAGCCACAUUGGGACUGAGACACGGCCCAAACUCCUACGGGAGGCAGCAGUGGGGAAUCUUGCACAAUGGAGGAAACUCUGAUGCAGCGAUGCCGCGUGAGUGAAGAAGGCCUUUGGGUUGUAAAGCUCUUUCGUCGGGGAAGAAAAUGACUGUACCCGAAUAAGAAGGUCCGGCUAACUUCGUGCCAGCAGCCGCGGUAAUACGAAGGGAUCUAGCGUAGUUCGGAAUUACUGGGCUUAAAGAGUUCGUAGGUGGUUGAAAAAGUUAGUGGUGAAAUCCCAGAGCUUAACUCUGGAACUGCCAUUAAAACUUUUCAGCUAGAGUAUGAUAGAGGAAAGCAGAAUUUCUAGUGUAGAGGUGAAAUUCGUAGAUAUUAGAAAGAAUACCAAUUGCGAAGGCAGCUUUCUGGAUCAUUACUGACACUGAGGAACGAAAGCAUGGGUAGCGAAGAGGAUUAGAUACCCUCGUAGUCCAUGCCGUAAACGAUGUGUGUUAGACGUUGGAAAUUAUUUUCAGUGUCGCAGGGAAACCGAUAAACACACCGCCUGGGGAGUACGACCGCAAGGUUAAAACUCAAAUGAAUUGACGGGGACCCGCACAAGUAGUGGAGCAUGUGGUUUAAUUCGAAGAUACGCGCAGAACCUUACCAACACUUGACAUGUUCGUCGCGACUCUAAGAGAUUAGAGUUUUCGGUUCGGCCGGACGAAACACAGGUGCUGCAUGGCUGUCGUCAGCUCGUGUCGUGAGAUGUUGGGUUAAGUCCCGCAACGAGCGCAACCCUCACUUUUAGUUGCCAUCAUUAAGUUGGGCACUCUGAAAGAACUGCCAGUGAUAUGCUGGAGGAAGGUGGGGAUGACGUCAAGUCCUCAUGGCCCUUACGUGUUGGGCUACACACGUGCUACAAUGGUAUCUACAACAGGAAGCAAGACUGCGAAGUUAAGCAAAUCCCUAAAAGAUACCUCAGUUCGGAUUGCACUCUGCAACUCGAGUGCAUGAAGCUGGAAUUACUAGUAAUCGUGGAUCAGCGUGCCACGGUGAAUGCGUUCCCGGGUCUUGUACACACCGCCCGUCACACCAUGGGAGUUGGUUCUACCUUAAGGCAAGGUUUCAAACCCUUGACCACGGUAUAGUCAGCGACUGGGGUGAAGUCGUAACAAGGUAACC
Molecule: ribosomal RNA, 1434 nt
Filed under: uncultured marine bacterium
Lineage: Bacteria
Description: bacterial SSU rRNA
Rfam family: Bacterial small subunit ribosomal RNA
Source: RNAcentral